This is a long non-coding RNA of Manis pentadactyla (Chinese pangolin), 454 nucleotides long. RefSeq lists it as uncharacterized. NCBI's taxonomy places the organism in Eukaryota, Metazoa, Chordata, Mammalia, Pholidota, Manidae. The record is from RefSeq and is a predicted model, not a curated record. The transcript has 3 exons.
UUGGGCCCCUUCCGUCUGCUUUUCAUCAUGUUAAAUGUCCCUGCGCUACUCUCUUCUCUCUCCAACUUAAUAGUGAGCAUCUUUUUAAAACAAAGGCUUUGGUCAAGAAGAAAUGGGUCCAUGACCUGCCGACGGUCCUCGAGAUUGGCGUCUGGCCCGCCACUGCACUGGCUCUCAGGAGCUGGUCAGAGUUCCACUGGGCUCAGAUCCGGGCUCUCCCCCCACUUUGUGGGGGACCUCGGUGAGUCACUGAAUCUUUCUGAGACUCAUUUGUGAAAGAUAAGAACGCUGGAGAACUGAGAAGCUGGAUCAUUUCCACAGGCUCCCCCAGCGAGUCGUUUGCAGGUACCUAUUGGAACCCCAGCACCGGGCUUGGGAGCCCCUGCUCUUAACCACUGAGCUCUCCUGCCUCCUGUUGCCUCUGAGCACCAUGGCUACAGCUGUGAACAGGCGA